GGGAUUCCCUUAGUAACGGCGAGCGAAAAGGGAGCGGCCCAGUAUGUAAAUCUCCAGCUUUCCGCUGGCGAAUUGUAGUCUGGAGUAGCGGCUCUUGGAAACCGGUCGGCCCAAGCAUCUUGGAAUAGAUCGCCGCAGAGGGUGAGAGCCCCGUAGGUGGGCCGGAAUCCUUCACAGAGCGCUCACGGAGAGUCGGGUUGUUUGGGAAUGCAGCCCCAAUUGGGUGGUAAACCCCAUCUAAGGCUAAAUACCUGUGGGAGACCGAUAGCAAAAAAGUACCUCGAGGGAACGAUGAAAAGACCGCUGGCAAGCGAGUGAAAGAGUGCAUGAAAUUGUAUAGUGGGAAGGGAUGGCCUUGGCGUGCUGCCCCCGGGUAAACACUGCUCGUGGAGCUCUUGAAUACACUGGGGGCUGGCUGGUGCCAACACCCGCGCUCGCAAACUCCCAAACUAAGGUGUUUGGUACCUCGAGCGCGGGUGUUGAGGCUGAUCGUUGCUUUGUGCAUAACUGCAACCGACAUAGCACCAGCUGGAGCCUGUCCAUCUA
RNAcentral lists this ribosomal RNA (546 nucleotides) under Lychaete herpestica. RNAcentral describes it as "eukaryotic LSU rRNA". It matches the Rfam family "Eukaryotic large subunit ribosomal RNA", at positions 71 to 647 of the family's 3401-position model. Lineage: Eukaryota; Viridiplantae; Chlorophyta; Ulvophyceae; Cladophorales; Cladophoraceae. The record is from RNAcentral.